AGCUUUGUGCAGUGGCAGUAUCGUAGCCAAUGAGGUUUAUCCGAGACACGAUUAUUACUAAUUGAAAACUAAAUGUUAAAUUUUCAUCUUUCCAGAAAAAUCCACUAAAUCCUUUAAAUCCCUGGAAUACUUUCAAUGCCCUUUAAAGU
Vulpes vulpes (red fox) is the source of this 149-nucleotide small nuclear RNA. Its record names the gene U4. It matches the Rfam family "U4 spliceosomal RNA". Rfam says of the family: U4 small nuclear RNA (U4 snRNA) is a component of the major U2-dependent spliceosome. NCBI's taxonomy places the organism in Eukaryota, Metazoa, Chordata, Mammalia, Carnivora, Canidae. The record is from Ensembl.